RNAcentral lists this ribosomal RNA (117 nucleotides) under Salipaludibacillus agaradhaerens. Lineage: Bacteria; Bacillati; Bacillota; Bacilli; Caryophanales; Bacillaceae. The record is from RNAcentral.
UUUAGUGACAAUCGCGGAGAGGUCACACCCGUUCCCAUGCCGAACACGGCAGUUAAGCUCUCCAGCGCCGAUGAUAGUUGGGGGCUCUCCCCCUGUGAAAGUAGGACGUCGCUAAGC